AGUUUCUAAUAUCAGACGAGCUACAUAUAUCCAGGGUAACAGACUACAAGCAAUUGCAUAAAUAAAUCCUUUCAAACAUUAAUUGAGAUCAAAAUCACAAACUAAUGAUUCCACAAUAUAGAUACUUCCACUACAUUAAGUAGUGUAAUCAAUACAAUUCAAUUUUUUUAUCGCCAAUGUUGGUAUGAAGGUUAACUCAAUGUAGGCUGAGUUCAAAAGGAAUGUGCAAUAUAUUAGACUUUUCUGGGAGAGCAAGGCUUGAUCCAGAUACAUGGCGUUUCAAAUUUCUAUACAACGGCCCCUAGAGAUGCCAACAAAGGAAUCCUCAAAUAUUAACUACCAAAUACAGUUAUUACAUAACCGAUAGAUGAUGUUACAAUUCCAAGCAAACUACCAGCAAUGACCUGUAAUAUGAAUUUGAAAUAUUAACAAGGGAAACCACCACUAGUAAAAAAAGACAACUAAAGUAAGCCUACUUUCAAGGAUUUUCAAUUGUUCAGUUUAAAUUGCACAGAGAUAAGUAGAAAAUGAUAUGCAGAAUGCCACAGCAUGGGAGUGCCACAGUAUUUCCAAAAAGUGUAGCAGUGAAAUAUAUAUAACCUUAUUAACGAAUUGAAAUCUCUGUAUUGAUAGAUCUAACAUUCACUUAGAACUAUAUAUAAGAUAAUAAGAGCAGUAUUGUAUCUUGAUUCCUGAUAGUACUGAAACAAACAAUGUAUAUAACCCUAGGAAAAUAUCAUCUUAACAUUUCAAAGAAAGUAAAACAUGGUAACACAUACUAUGAUAGGCUUGAAUGUUCAUAAAAGUCAAAUUAGUAUAACACAAUCAUCACCUACUGUACUCAAGCAGUAGCAGUUAUAUAUAUUUUUUGAUAAAGAGUAGUAGUUAUAUAUUGAGUAAAUAACAGGAUGCUCAUUAAGCGUCUGUUUUGUAAGUCCAAUAAGCUAGCUAAUAGCUAUAGCUUAUUGGACUAGCUUAUAAGUUUGUUU
This 989-nucleotide long non-coding RNA is filed under the name Trifolium pratense (red clover). RNAcentral describes it as "long non-coding RNA (TPRA_LNC012979)". The record is from RNAcentral. Lineage: Eukaryota; Viridiplantae; Streptophyta; Magnoliopsida; Fabales; Fabaceae.